GAUGAAGAACGUAGCGAAAUGCGAUAAGUAGUGUGAAUUGCAGAAUUUAGUGAAUCAUCGAAUCUUUGAACGCACAUUGCGCCCCUUGGUAUCCCGAGGGGCAUGCCUGUUCGAGCGUCAUUUCACCACUCAAGCCUGGCUUGGUGUUGGGCGACGUCCUCUUUGGGGACGCGCCUCGAAACGCUCGGCGGCGUGGCACCGGCUUUAAGCGUAGCAGAAUCUUUCGCUUUGGAAGUCGGGGCCCCGUCUGCCGGAAGACCUGCUCGCAAGGUUGACCUCGGAUCAGGCAGGGAUACCCGCUGAACUUAAGCAUAUCAAUAAGCGGAGGA
Molecule: unclassified non-coding RNA, 329 nt
Filed under: soil metagenome
Description: partial contains 5.8S ribosomal RNA, internal transcribed spacer 2, and large subunit ribosomal RNA
Rfam family: 5.8S ribosomal RNA (bases 1-120)
Source: RNAcentral